AGAGUUUGAUCCUGGCUCAGAAUCAACGCUGGCGGCGUGCCUCAGACAUGCAAGUCGAACGCGAAAGUCCCCUUCGGGGGGCAAGUAGAGUGGCGCACGGGUGAGUAACACGUAGGUAAUCUACCUUCGGGUGGGGAAUAACAACCGGAAACGGUUGCUAAUACCGCAUAAUGCAGCGGCACCUAAUGGUGACAGUUGUUAAAGCGGGGGAUCGCAAGAUCUCGCGCCUGAAGAGGAGCCUGCGGCGGAUUAGCUAGUUGGUAGGGUAACGGCCUACCAAGGCGACGAUCCGUAGCCGGCCUGAGAGGGCGGUCGGCCACACUGACACUGACAUACGGGUCAGACUCCUACGGGAGGCAGCAGUCGGGAAUUUUGGGCAAUGGGCGAAAGCCUGACCCAGCAACGCCGCGUGAAGGAUGAAAUCCCUCGGGAUGUAAACUUCGCAAGAACGGGAAGAAUAAGCCUGUGUUAAUACCACAGGCGAUGACGGUACCGUUUGUAAGCUCCGGCUAACUCCGUGCCAGCAGCCGCGGUAAUACGGGGGGAGCAA
RNAcentral lists this ribosomal RNA (550 nucleotides) under uncultured bacterium. Its description in RNAcentral is "bacterial SSU rRNA". It matches the Rfam family "Bacterial small subunit ribosomal RNA", at positions 8 to 537 of the family's 1533-position model. The record is from RNAcentral.